This 141-nucleotide small nuclear RNA is filed under the name Beta vulgaris subsp. vulgaris (sugar beet). Its description in RNAcentral is "snRNA U4". It matches the Rfam family "U4 spliceosomal RNA". Rfam says of the family: U4 small nuclear RNA (U4 snRNA) is a component of the major U2-dependent spliceosome. The record is from Rfam by way of RNAcentral. Lineage: Eukaryota; Viridiplantae; Streptophyta; Magnoliopsida; Caryophyllales; Amaranthaceae.
AUCUUUGCGCUUGGGGCAAUGUCGCAGUUAAUGAGGUCUAACCGAGACGCGACUAUUGCUGGUUGAAAACUAUAUCCAAUCCUCACGUUUUUUGAAUAAAAACGUAAUUUCUGGCUGCUUGGCGCCUCGGCUGUAUCCAAG